Molecule: long non-coding RNA, 1599 nt
Organism: Coturnix japonica (Japanese quail)
Lineage: Eukaryota; Metazoa; Chordata; Aves; Galliformes; Phasianidae
Source: Ensembl
AUGCGAUCAACACCAAAUCACCCCCGCCAGGCACGAUCCAUCAUCUCCGCGAUGCGAUGGGCCCUUUUAUGGCUGUGUCUACGCGGGGGGCGGGCGGGAGGGAAGGGGGAGGGAGCGGAGAAAAGGGAGCGAGAGCGUGUGAGUGGGGAGGGGGCAUCCGCCGCAAUGGGAACCGCAGCCCCCCCCGGCUCCUGGAGCGGCGGAUCCGAAGGUUGCCGGUCCGGGGCCGCGCCUGGCAGCGGGCCCCGCCGCCUCCGCCUGCCAUCAGCCUCCCCUCCCCCCUCCGGCUCCUCCGGGGCGAGCUUGACUGGCGUUAAAUUAAUAAUUAAUCGGGUGAAAUUGAUUAAAGGGCUCUGCGCGCGAUGGGGCGCAGGGAGAGCCCUUCCCCUCCUCUCCUGCAGCGGGGAGCCGCCGGCACUGGGAGCUCCGGCCCGAGCAGGAAGGAAAAGGGCGGCGGGGAGCGGAGCGGGGCGGGGGAGGAAGGCGGCGGCGGCUGCAACAGCAGCAGAAGCAGCAGCAGCAGCCCCGCUGGUGGCUGCCUGCAAGCGAGAGCGGCGGCAGCAGCAGGAGAGGGCUGGCCUCAGGCUGGCUCGGCUCCGCGCAGCUGGGAGUGCGUGUGCGUGUACAAAGCCGGAGCCCGGGAGCUGCCCGAGGGCGGUGCUCGGCACCACAACGCCAACCUCCCCCUCCCUUCCCUGCCCCCCCCUCCUUCUCUCCCCUCCCGCCGAGAUCAGUCUGUGCCACGGAAGGAGUGGGGAACCGCAGGGGACGCGGCCGGGCCGCCGCACGCCUCAGCUGCAGCCCCGCCGAGGUGGGAAAGGGUUAAACGUUGGCGGGGGCCGGGGGAUGGGAAGCGAGGGGAGGGGGAUGCCGAGCGCAGGGAAACCACAGCGCACCUGGGCUCGGCUCGGGAGCCGGAACGAGCCGCCGUCUCCUCCUCCUCCUCCUCCUCCCUCCCAACCGCGCGGUGCCCGCCCGGCCCGGAUCGCGGCUCUAUCUCGGCAGCAGCGGAGCGCAGCUCCCCCGGUCCUAUCGGCCGCUCCUUCUAACCCCAGUGACCCAGAUAACGCGGCGGCCUCGCCCCCACUCUCGCCCCGCAGCACGCCGAGGCCCCGAGCCGCCUCCUUCCCCCCCCUUCCCGCUUCCUCCCCGGGGGCUGCGGGGCCGCCCCGGCUUUGCCCUCCGUCCGCAGCCCCUCCCGGCCCCUGCGGUGGGGCACCCUCGCCGGGCCCCGUUCCCUCGGGUCGGGGAGGUGCUGCCAUCCCCCCGGGCCGGCCUGGGGUCAUUGUAUGGCUGCGCGGAGCCAGCCCGCCGUCAAAAUACCAAUUAAAACCCAAACAAACACCCCGAGCCGGUCUUUCCUGGACACGCGGGUCGGAGCCACCGCAGCCCCAGCGUUGUUAUUCCUGGUCUGGAAAUAGCCCUGGCUCCGCCCUGACAAUCGCCUGUCAGAGGCCUCUCCUCUCCCCUCCCGGAGGCCCUGCCCUGCCCCGCUCUAUUUACUUUGGAAGUGCGUGCAGGGACGGGAGCGGCGCGGUGCCUCCUGCCCGCGUUCCCCGGCACGCGGGAUACGGCGAAUCCCGUCCCCGCUCCGCGUGA